GUGUGUGUGUGUGUGUGAGUGAGUGACUAAGUGUGUGUGUGUGAGUGGGUAUAAGUUAUGUGAGUGUGUGUGUGAGUGUAAGUGACUAAGUGUGUGCGAGUGUGCGAGUGUGUGUGUGAGUGUGUGUGACUAAGUGUGUGUGUGUGAGUGGGUAUAAGUUAUGUGAGUGUGUGUGUGAGUGUAAGUGACUAAGUGUGUGCGAGUGUGUGUGUGAGUGUGUGUGUGUGGGUGUGUGUGUGUGUGAGUGGGUAUAAGUUAUGUGAGUGUGUGUGUGAGUGUGUGGGUAUAAGUUAUGUGAGUGCGUGUGUGAGUGUAAGUGACUAAGUGUGUGCGAGUGUGUGUGUGUGUGUGACUGGGUGUGCCUGAGUGUAAGUGACUAAGUGUGUGUGUGUGAGUGGGUAUAAGUUAUGUGAGUGCGUGUGUGAGUGUAAGUGACUAAGUGUGUGCGAAUGUGUGUGUGUGUGUGUGUGCCUGAGUGUAAGUGACUAAGUGUGUGAGUGUGAGUGGGUAUAAGUUAUGUGAGUGCGUGUGUGAGUGUGUGACUGGGUGUGCCUGAGUGUAAGUGACUAAGUGUGUGUGUGUGAGUGGGUAUAAGUUAUGUGAGUGCGUGUGUGAGUGUAAGUGCGGGGUGUGCG
Molecule: long non-coding RNA, 635 nt
Filed under: Sarcophilus harrisii (Tasmanian devil)
Lineage: Eukaryota; Metazoa; Chordata; Mammalia; Dasyuromorphia; Dasyuridae
Description: lncRNA (ENSSHAG00000026394.1)
Source: RNAcentral